UUUUUUGCAGUUUCCUCAAAAGGUGAACAAAAAUAUUUUACUGACUCUGAUUCAUACUACAUAAAAUUCUUCUUUAAGAGAAACCAAAUUUUACUAUUGUAUUAGUGUAUUAUCAACACGAAAGUUAAUUUGACUAAAACCUUACAAACAAAUUCAUCCAAUCUCGGGCAGCUUUUGAACACACAAGAUAAGAUUUUCAUAAAACUUUUUUAGCCUCUCACAAAAUUUUUCUAUUUUAUCUUUCCCCAAAUUUUUAUACCCAUGUAAUUUUAUCUAUAUAUUUUAUUUCUUCAAUUUGAAAUAAACUUGAAAUAGCUUCUAAACUAGACAAAAUUAUUUUUUUCAACAUACACACAUCUUCAUGCCUUUACAACUUUCCUCACCAAAAAUAUAUCUUCCAUUUUUAAAAAAAUACAUUCUGUAUAUAAAAUUGUUUCUUUUAUAUCUGGUAGUUUUAUUUACAUAUAUUAACCUUAAUUUUAACUCUUAAUAACCCUAAUUUCUAGCAAAAACCUAGGAAGUAAUUUUAAACUGUUUUAUAUCAGUAUUUGUAGAUGAAAAUCAUUUCCUAAUGUUUUAAGAAAGAUGUUUCUUCAGUUUUUCUUAUUUAUUAACAGAUCUAAUUAUAUUUAGCUUCUCUAUACUAUGUAAAAGUAAGAUGCCAAGAUAUAUAAACUUAAACUUAGGUUAAAUAAUUAAUGUUUCAAUAUUUUAACUUACUUAGAAAUAACUCAAACAUGUUAUGACUAUCUAUUGGUUAAUUUAACAGAUUAAAGAUUUUAAAUUACUGAAAAGAAUUUUCAAACUAUGACAUAGGUACCCUCCCGAAUAUCUUCCCUAAUCAUCCUGGGCCCUAAGUACCCAUAUGGCACCCAAGGCAGUUCUGUAGUGAAGGGCUCAUCUGGGUCUUGAAUUUACAUACCAGGUGUAGAGGUCAGGACAGAGGACAACUGUGAAGAUGAUACCUGGAGGAUCAAACCCCUCCUGGCAUGGCCAGCUGGCAACACUGGUUCAGGGAGAAUGUGCCAUUGGAGGUUGGCUUUGCUUUGCAGAGAGUGGUCCAGGCACUGAGGACAUAUUCCCAGGCCUCACCAUGGUCACCUUGUUACCAGCAGUGAAUCCAUGUGGGUCUGCAUCAGCCUCAAUUCUUGCCUCCUCAGAAGAAAGAAUUUGACUCAAGGGCAUAAGGCAGAAGGAGAGAGAGUCAAGUUUUAAAGCAGGAGUGAAGUUUGUUAAAAAACUUUACAGCAGGAACAAAAGGAAAUAAAAUACAUUUGGAAAUACUUGACCCUCUAUAUUUGGAAAAGGGCCAAGCAGAUGACUUGAGAGAUCAGGUGCAUGAUUCGACCUUUGACUUGGGGUUUUAUAUGUUGGCAUACUUCUGGGGUCUUGCAUACCUUCUUCUGUUAUUCUUCCUUUGGGUUGGCUGUCCGCAUGAGCAGUGGCCUGCUAGCACUAGGGAGAGGAGCAUGUGCAGUGUGUUUACUGGAGAUGUAUGCAUGCUCACCUGAGGCACUCUUCCCUUAUCAAACGUCCC
RNAcentral lists this long non-coding RNA (1537 nucleotides) under Macaca fascicularis (crab-eating macaque). Its description in RNAcentral is "lncRNA (ENSMFAG00000054462.1)". Lineage: Eukaryota; Metazoa; Chordata; Mammalia; Primates; Cercopithecidae. The record is from RNAcentral.